GCCAGACUCCUACGGGAGGCAGCAGUGGGGGAUAUUGCACAAUGGGGGGAACCCUGAUGCAGCGACGCCGCGUGGGUGAAGGAGCGUUUCGGCGCGUAAAGCCCUAUCGGCAGGGAAGAAGGAGGACGGUACCUGACUAAGAAGCCCCGGCUAACUACGUGCCAGCAGCCGCGGUAAUACGUAGGGGGCAAGCGUUAUCCGGAUUUACUGGGUGUAAAGGGGGCGCAGACGGCAGCGCAAGCCAGGAGUGAAAGCCCGGGGCCCAACCCCGGGACUGCUCUUGGAACUGCGCGGCUGGAGUGCAGGAGGGGCAGGCGGAAUUCCUGGUGUAGCGGUGAAAUGCGUAGAUAUCAGGAGGAACACCGGUGGCGAAGGCGGCCUGCUGGACUGCGACUGACGCUGAGGCGCGAAAGCGUGGGGAGCAAACAGGAUUAGAUACCCCAGUAUC
RNAcentral lists this ribosomal RNA (448 nucleotides) under uncultured bacterium. Its description in RNAcentral is "partial 16S ribosomal RNA". It matches the Rfam family "Bacterial small subunit ribosomal RNA", at positions 330 to 794 of the family's 1533-position model. The record is from RNAcentral.